GCAUAUCAAUAAGCGGAGGAAAAGAAACCAACAGGGAUUGCCACAGUAACGGCGAGUGAAGCGGCAACAGCUCAAAUUUGAAAUCUGGCCUCACGGUCCGAGUUGUAAUUUGUAGAGGAUGUUUUGGGUGUGGCUCCGGUCUAAGUUCCUUGGAACAGGACGUCAUAGAGGGUGAGAAUCCCGUAUGUGAUCGGUGGCCUUCGCCCGUGUAAAGCUCUUUCGACGAGUCGAGUUGUUUGGGAAU
This 244-nucleotide ribosomal RNA is filed under the name uncultured fungus. Its description in RNAcentral is "partial 26S ribosomal RNA". It matches the Rfam family "Eukaryotic large subunit ribosomal RNA", at positions 38 to 281 of the family's 3401-position model. The record is from RNAcentral. Lineage: Eukaryota; Fungi.